UUGUGGAGAAGGACGCCGAAGGUGGGGCUGAUGACUGGGGUGAAGUCGUAACAAGGUAGCCGUACCGGAAGGUGCGGCUGGAUCACCUCCUAACAGGGAGACAAUUAAUUGAUUGUGAUGUCUAAGUCAUUUAUUCUUAGGCCGCAAUCCUGUCACCUUAAGGUCGAUCGGUACCUCAGAUUUUUGAAUUAAUUUUAUAAUUAAUCCUUUAAUUUCAGUUCCUAAACUUGUCUAGGUCACACCCAACAAGGUUUCUCCUGGGCCAUUAGCUCAGGUGGUUAGAGCGCACCCCUGAUAAGGGUGAGGUCCCUGGUUCAAGUCCAGGAUGGCCCAUUCGUUGUUGGGGGUAUAGCUCAGUUGGUAGAGCGCCUGCUUUGCAAGCAGGAUGUCAGCGGUUCGAGUCCGCUUACCUCCACUGGAAUCCACCCUGGUAACUAAAUUCCGGAGAAAAUUUUGUAGAUGUGACUUAGAAUUGUCUAUUGAAAAAGAUCCUAGCUUCUUAUCAUCUUUUUGGAGUUGAUAAUAUGCUGGGCUCACAUGGAACUAUCCAUGAGAAUUCAGUAGAACCUUGAAAACUGCAUAGAUUAGAAAGAAUAAAGCAUCUCAUGGAUGCAUAAUUCUUGUUUGAUUUUUUAGCUUAAAAACUAACUGGUCAAUUACAAGAAUUCAUGUUUAAUUCUUGAGUAAAAGCCGAGCACAAUUAAUUUUGUGAUUGUAUUAAGGUCAAGCUACAA
This 734-nucleotide unclassified non-coding RNA is filed under the name uncultured Prochlorococcus sp. Its description in RNAcentral is "partial 16S-23S ribosomal RNA intergenic spacer; may also contain 16S ribosomal RNA and 23S ribosomal RNA". The stretch from base 343 to 415 matches the Rfam family "tRNA". Lineage: Bacteria; Bacillati; Cyanobacteriota; Cyanophyceae; Synechococcales; Prochlorococcaceae. The record is from RNAcentral.